AUCUCUUAAGCAAGAAAAUGGGAAAUCGGUUUUAGGGUUGAAGGGAGGAGUAGAGUGUAGUUCUCUCCAUAGCAAGUUUUCUUCAUUUUCGCAGCCUAAAGAAUCCAUGAUUUAAAUACUUCUUUAAGAUUAUGAGCUUGUGGGAGAUCUGAUUGGCCAUUGAGAUGGAAAAGAAUAAAUGGUUACAGAAAAAGAGAGGAGUCCGAGUGAAAGUGAAAGCUCGGGUUCAAUAUCUUCACACAAAGGUUGGCAGAUUUUGAGAGAGAGUGAGAGACAUCAGAACUCAUAAAAGGCCUAAAAUGAAUUUGUUCUCUAUUGUAACCCAAGAGUCAAAUACCAUUUUAAAUCAAGAUUAGAUCCCAACCCUUGAGUUGAUCCAAAGGCCCAUGGUGGAGAUGGAGAAGGACAAUCCUUAUUUUAGUAAAGUGACCAAUUGGUUGUCUUAAAAUUUAACAAUUUAUACCGAUUUAAUCGUUUAAUAUUUCAUUGGGUAUUGUUUAAGCUUCAAGCAUUGGAUAAGAGUUUAUGGCAUUGGUUAAUGGUUGGCCAAUAUCUUAUAUUGCGAAAUUAUUUUCCCAUUACGUGUUUAUGAAUUUUUGUGAUAUUACUCCAUAUUUGUUAAUU
Olea europaea var. sylvestris is the source of this 624-nucleotide long non-coding RNA. RefSeq lists it as uncharacterized. The transcript is spliced from 2 exons. The record is from RefSeq and is a predicted model, not a curated record. Lineage: Eukaryota; Viridiplantae; Streptophyta; Magnoliopsida; Lamiales; Oleaceae.